Cytospora paraplurivora is the source of this 91-nucleotide non-coding RNA. NCBI's taxonomy places the organism in Eukaryota, Fungi, Ascomycota, Sordariomycetes, Diaporthales, Cytosporaceae. The record is from the annotation of a GenBank genome assembly.
ACCCCAUAUGGUGCAGUGAUCAGCAUAUUGGAUUUUCAGGCAACAGUGCUGAGAACCUCCAAAGACCAGAGUUCAAAUCUCCGUGUGGGUG